AACGAACGCUGGCGGCAGGCCUAACACAUGCAAGUCGAGCGCGCCUUCGGGUGGGCGGCGGACGGGUUAGUAACGCGUGGGAACGUGCCCUUCUCUACGGAAUAGCCUCUGGAAACGGAGAGUAAUACCGUAUACGCCCUUUGGGGGAAAGAUUUAUCGGAGAAGGAUCGGCCCGCGUUAGAUUAGGUAGUUGGUGGGGUAACGGCCUACCAAGCCUACGAUCUAUAGCUGGUUUUAGAGGAUGAUCAGCAACACUGGGACUGAGACACGGCCCAGACUCCUACGGGAGGCAGCAGUGGGGAAUAUUGGUCAAUGGAGGCAACUCUGAACCAGCCAUGCCGCGUGAAGGAUGACGGCCCUAUGGGUUGUAAAGCUCUUUUACCCGGGAAGAUAAUGACUGUACCGGGAGAAUAAGCCCCGGCUAACUCCGUG
Molecule: ribosomal RNA, 432 nt
Filed under: uncultured bacterium
Lineage: Bacteria
Description: bacterial SSU rRNA
Rfam family: Bacterial small subunit ribosomal RNA
Source: RNAcentral